This 656-nucleotide unclassified non-coding RNA is filed under the name Hevea brasiliensis (rubber tree). The record is from RNAcentral. Lineage: Eukaryota; Viridiplantae; Streptophyta; Magnoliopsida; Malpighiales; Euphorbiaceae.
AGUUUUAUUAAAUUGCCAAAAAUUAUUUGAAGUUUUUAAAUUGAAAUGAUGCAUGUUAUUGCUUAUAAUUUGGUAAAAGUUCAACAAUUAGUACUAAAAAUACAAUAUAAUAAAAUUUUCAUUGCAAUUUAGUCAUUUACAUUUUUGCAGUGCUCAUCCCACCCCCCACAUGUAAUCCUGCUUCUGCCAAUGCAUAUGCAUGAAAUAUGGGAUGGAAAAGGAUGGUAAACACAUUCGCUAGCUAAAUAUAUAUACACUAAAAAAAGAAACAGAAAACUUUUGCUUACACAUAAAGGAAGUGAAGGCCUCUUAUAACUGGAUGCUAAUGAAAUAAAACAGCAAGCAUGAUAUUCAAGUGUUCAUUGAUAAGUACAUUCAAUGAGGAUUGAGGAAGAUGUGUCAUCAAUAACCUUGUUUGAUGAAUGAAUGAUGGUUUAGUUAAAAGGGCAAUAGGCAAUACAUAGACACCCAAUUAUGGUCCCAUAAAGGGCCAUGACAUAAUUAUCUUAUAAGAUCUUUUGGGGAAGCACAAUGAGCUCCCAGUUACAAAUGAUGCCAUCCAAAACUCUCAAGUUAUUCAUCUUAUGACAUCUGGAUUACAAAUGGUGUCACAUAGUCAUCUCAAGGCACUGUAAUAUUAUUUUGGAUAAAUGAAU